This 707-nucleotide ribosomal RNA is filed under the name Saccharomyces cerevisiae (brewer's yeast). RNAcentral describes it as "partial large subunit ribosomal RNA". It matches the Rfam family "Eukaryotic large subunit ribosomal RNA", at positions 94 to 816 of the family's 3401-position model. The record is from RNAcentral. Lineage: Eukaryota; Fungi; Ascomycota; Saccharomycetes; Saccharomycetales; Saccharomycetaceae.
UGAAGCGGCAAAAGCUCAAAUUUGAAAUCUGGUACCUUCGGUGCCCGAGUUGUAAUUUGGAGAGGGCAACUUUGGGGCCGUUCCUUGUCUAUGUUCCUUGGAACAGGACGUCAUAGAGGGUGAGAAUCCCGUGUGGCGAGGAGUGCGGUUCUUUGUAAAGUGCCUUCGAAGAGUCGAGUUGUUUGGGAAUGCAGCUCUAAGUGGGUGGUAAAUUCCAUCUAAAGCUAAAUAUUGGCGAGAGACCGAUAGCGAACAAGUACAGUGAUGGAAAGAUGAAAAGAACUUUGAAAAGAGAGUGAAAAAGUACGUGAAAUUGUUGAAAGGGAAGGGCAUUUGAUCAGACAUGGUGUUUUGUGCCCUCUGCUCCUUGUGGGUAGGGGAAUCUCGCAUUUCACUGGGCCAGCAUCAGUUUUGGUGGCAGGAUAAAUCCAUAGGAAUGUAGCUUGCCUCGGUAAGUAUUAUAGCCUGUGGGAAUACUGCCAGCUGGGACUGAGGACUGCGACGUAAGUCAAGGAUGCUGGCAUAAUGGUUAUAUGCCGCCCGUCUUGAAACACGGACCAAGGAGUCUAACGUCUAUGCGAGUGUUUGGGUGUAAAACCCAUACGCGUAAUGAAAGUGAACGUAGGUUGGGGCCUCGCAAGAGGUGCACAAUCGACCGAUCCUGAUGUCUUCGGAUGGAUUUGAGUAAGAGCAUAGCUGUUGGGACC